Salmo trutta (river trout) is the source of this 2050-nucleotide long non-coding RNA. NCBI's taxonomy places the organism in Eukaryota, Metazoa, Chordata, Actinopteri, Salmoniformes, Salmonidae. The record is from Ensembl.
AUAGAUUUAGGGCAACAUUUGUGUGCGAAGCAUUGUGCGAAGUGCAAAAAAUACCAUAAACCUCAUUAUAAUCUUGCAGUGUGAUUUAAUCUGAAAAUGUUCUUCAACGAUGUCCGUUAUGAGGAGGACUAUGUAAGGGAUCAUCAACGAGAGGCUUCGUGUUCUAUGGAAAAUAAUAAACGACUUGGUAGGUGUGUUCCACGAACGCAUAGAGCCCUGAGUUGAUUAUCUCUUAUAUACUGUACCAUGGCUAUAAUUUAACACAUUUGCCGCUCAAAAUGUUUUCAUUUGGCAGUAGAAAUGUGUUCAAUAUCCACUGAAGUAGGAAGCAAGUUUACUAAAUAGCUACAGUAGUUGCCUUGGUAACCAAACAGACUUGCUAGGUUAGCUAACCAAACCAUCAGUCCUAGCUUGCUAUUAUGAAAAUCUAAUUCAACAAUACCAAUGUUUUCAAUUCGACUUUUGCUGCCAAAAGCAGCAUGGAACAUAAGAAUGAACUAUAGCCAUUGAAUUCUACCGUGCUGAUAUACCGUGCGUUAUAGGGAAAUAAUGCACGCUCUAGAAUGCCCUUCAAUCCAAUCAGGAACAACUAUUUAACAAUGCCAUGGUAUAAAUUAAAAAACGGAGCAAUACAUAAAUAGAUUCCUCUUCAAAACGCACACUGUUGAAGAAAAGUUUCAUUCAAUUCCCAUGAUAAUGAGGUUUAUGGUAAGUUUUCCACUUUGCAGUGCACAAUACUUUUGCACCUAUAGCCUAAUCAUGACUCUGGUGUUAACCAUACCCACACUAUACAAUAAUCACUCAGUGUGUGUGUGUGUGUGUGUGUGUGUGUGUGUGUGUAAGUCAGACCUGCAGAUGGAGUUUGAAGAGCUGGUGUCCAGCGCCAGGAGACUAAGUCUCAGCAGCACAGAAAAGCAGAAGAGAGGAAGCAUUGCCAAUGCUGACUCUAGGAUGGACCGCAAGAGAGAGUCCCACUACAUCGGAGCAGGUCCAGAGUUCCAGCAUGUCUGUUUCAAGCCCUGUGGUCAGAGUCCUCUGGUGUCUCGCUACCUGCACCUCCAAGACAUCCCUACACCUGCUGGAUCUGACACACGCAGGAUCAGACGCACUGAGAUCACCAACCUGACAUAUCCUUGCACACACACACAAACACACACACACACACACACACACACACACACACACACACACACACACACACACACACACAGCACAAACACAGCACAAACACAGCACAAACACACACACACACACACACACACACACACACACACACACACACACACACACACUGCACAAACACAGCACAAACACACACACACACACACACACAGCACAAACACACACACACACACAAACACACACACACACACAGCACAAACACACACACACAGCACAAACACAAACACACACAGCACAAACACACACACACACAGCACAAACACACACAGCACAAACACACACACACACACACAUACACAGCACAAACACACACAAACGGGCGCCGUGAAAAGUUAGGACGAUUCUAAGGGCCUGUGACUGACAGGGGCCCAAAAAAUUAUUAGAACAUUAGGUCAGAAAAAUGUAAAUAUUAAAUUAUUAACCUAUCGUCAUUAAUAGAGUAUUUUAUUUACAAUGUAAAUAAAACUAACGGUUUCUUUUUCUUUUCUUGUUUUUGGCUAAAAGUAUACAGAGCCUCUGUAUUGCCUAACCCCUCCCCUCUAUUUACAUGAAAUGGUUCGGUCCUGCCCCCAAACCAGGUGCAAAUGGUACUUGCAGUGAAUUGUGAGUGAGGAGUACCGGUGGAGCAUCAUGUCUCAGCUUCUUAAAGAAAAAUCUGGCUUCCAAAAACAAAAAGAAAGACAGAAGAGAGAUAAGAAAGGGCAACAAUAUGUCACCCAAUUUUUCACAAAGGAAGGUGGGUGUAGUCUGUGAGUGGUAGAAAUUAACCUGUUAGCUUAGUCCAUAGUGAAAUAGGCUACUUUUGCACCCCUAACAUUAGUUACUUAAUAUCUUCACAGAAAAUUCUGAGUGUUUAUAUUUCGCUCUU